RNAcentral lists this ribosomal RNA (775 nucleotides) under uncultured bacterium. RNAcentral describes it as "bacterial SSU rRNA". It matches the Rfam family "Bacterial small subunit ribosomal RNA", at positions 8 to 796 of the family's 1533-position model. The record is from RNAcentral.
AGAGUUUGAUCCUGGCUCAGAAUGAACGUUGGCGGCGUGGAUUAGGCAUGCAAGUCGAACGAAUCCCUUGUAGCAAUAUGAGGGGGAAGUGGCGAAAGGGGCAGUAAUGUAUGGGUAACGUACCCGGGGGUCGUGGAUAGCCGUCCUAACGGACGGGUAAUACACGGCGAUUCGGCGGGAGGACAUCCUCUUGUCGGGAAAGAAUUUCGCCUCCGGAGCGGCUCAUAUCGUAUUAGCUAGUUGGUGGGGUAACGGCUCACCAAGGCGAAGAUGCGUAGCGGGUGUGAGAGCACGACCCGCGCCACUGGCACUGAGACACUGGCCAGACACCUACGGGUGGCUGCAGUCGAGGAUCUUCGGCAAUGGGCGCAAGCCUGACCGAGCGACGCCGCGUGGACGAUGAAGGCCUUCGGGUUGUAAAGUCCUGUCGAGGGGGAUCAAGGGCAACUUGAGUGAUCCCUGGAGGAAGCACGGGCUAAGUUCGUGCCAGCAGCCGCGGUAAGACGAACCGUGCAAACGUUAUUCGGAAUCACUGGGCAUAAAGGGCGCGUAGGCGGCUUCAUAAGUCAGGGGUGAAAUCCGGCAGCUUAACUGUCGCAGUGCCUUUGAUACUGUGGAGCUCGAGGGAGGUAGGGGUCUGUGGAACUUCCGGUGGAGCGGUGAAAUGCGUUGAUAUCGGAAGGAACGCCGGUGGCGAAAGCGACGGACUGGAUCUCUUCUGACGCUGAGGCGCGAAAGCCAGGGGAGCAAACGGGAUUAGAUACCCCAGUAGUCC